UCCACGCCCCCGCCGCCCUCGAAGGCAGGGACCAGCAAACACCCCCUUCCUAGCAGAGCCGGUCAAACACUGUCACGCUGGGGGACACUCCAAAGCAGCUGCUUAAGGCAAAACAUGGCCGGGGGGGGUCACCAGCGCAUGUGUCACUGCACUUCCCUGGGCCAUGCCAGUGCACCCUUGGCUCCGGAGCUGGUCGUAGGUGUGACGAAGUGGGACUGUUCUUAAUGUUUCCUCUGAAUAGUGUGGGAGGUGCCUCAGUUUCCCCAUGGCAGUUCUUAAGUAUCUAGGGGGUGGGGUAAGGGUGUAUGAUCAUUGCAGAGCCCUAGAGGGCAGGUGUGUGCAGGGGUCUGGACACAGAGAAUGGCCGACACCCUGUUUCCUGGCAACGGAUGGCCUGGCCCUUCCCCCCUGCAAGGUGAGAGCUAAAGGGUUGGAGAACAAAGGAAUCCGGUGACCUCCUGGCCCGGGAAAGGGACAAAGCCCAGAGGAGGAGGGGCUGGAGAGAGUUUCAGUUUGGGGCUGGCUGGGGACAUGGAGUGAAGGGCAGACGUGGUUGUCUGGCUCACUGCCCCCAAAAUGGACCCAGCUGAGAGGUCCUGUUCUCUGCACCUACAAGCUCUGUGUUAGACCAUGUUCCUGUCGUCUAAUAAACCUGUUUUACUGGCUGGCAGAGAGUCACGUCUGACUGCGGAGUUGGGGGGCAGGACCCUCUGGCUUCCCCAGGAGCCUGCCUGAGCGGACUCGCUGUGAGAAGCGCACGGAGGGGCAGAGGAUGCUGAAUGCUUCGAGGUCAGACCCAGGAAGGUGGAAGCUGUGUGAGCUGUGUGCCCUCCAGACAGGCUGCUCACAGAGAGGAGACUUCCCCAGGGUCCCGCUUGGCUUCGUAGGGAGCAGUUCCAGAGCAUCGCCCAGGGACUCCGUGAGAACUGGUGGCAGAGCUGGGAUCUACUGCACCCCAUGGAUGGCACUUCCUGCACUGAUCAAACCUGUGGCCCGGUUCUCUGCUUGGUUACGCUAGUGACUCCAGAGCAUCUUCAUCUACAAGCAGAGAGACGUUGGCUUUACCUGGGGUCACUGAGCACAGGAUUCGUCUGGCUGUGCUUCGCUCUCAGACUGUCGAAGCUGCAUUUCUGCCCUGCCUCCGGGGGGGGAGCCCGCACUGCCCCAGCGCUGCUUGAGGACGCAACGAGAACUCUGUGAUUCACAAAGAACCUUAUUCAA
Caretta caretta (loggerhead turtle) is the source of this 1221-nucleotide long non-coding RNA. RefSeq lists it as uncharacterized. The record is from RefSeq and is a predicted model, not a curated record. NCBI's taxonomy places the organism in Eukaryota, Metazoa, Chordata, Testudines, Cheloniidae.